RNAcentral lists this ribosomal RNA (1316 nucleotides) under uncultured rumen bacterium. Its description in RNAcentral is "partial 16S ribosomal RNA". It matches the Rfam family "Bacterial small subunit ribosomal RNA", at positions 47 to 1376 of the family's 1533-position model. The record is from RNAcentral.
CUUAACACAUGCAAGUCGAACGAAGCAGUUUAUUACGAUCCCUUCGGGGUGACGAUUUACUGACUGAGUGGCGGACGGGUGAGUAACGCGUGGGUAACCUGCCUUGUACAGGGGGACAACAGUUGGAAACGACUGCUAAUACCGCAUAAGCGCACGGUAUCGCAUGAUACAGUGUGAAAAGUUAUUUCGGUACAAGAUGGACCCGCGUCUGAUUAGCUAGAUGGUGAGGUAACGGCUCACCAUGGCGAUGAUGCAUAGCCGGUCUGAGAGGACGAACGGCCACAUUGGGACUGAGAACGGCCCAAACUCCUACGGGAGGCAGCAGUAGGGAAUUUUCGGCAAUGGGCGGAAGCCUGACCGAGCAACGCCGCGUGAUUGAAGAAGUAUUUCGGUAUGUAAAAAUCUUUUAUUUGGGACGAAAAAAUCAAAAUUGACGGUACCAAAUGAAUAAGCCCCGGCUAACUACGUGCCAGCAGCCGCGGUAAUACGUAGGGGGCAAGCGUUAUCCGGAAUUAUUGGGCGUAAAGGGUGCGUAGGCGGCAAUGAAAGUCUUUGGUUAAAAUUCUAGGCUCAACCUAGUCAUGCCAAAGAAACUUCAUAGCUAGAGUAUGGUAGAGGUGAGUGGAAUUCCAUGUGUAGCGGUAAAAUGCGUAAAUAUAUGGAGGAACACCAGUGGCGAAGGCGGCUCACUAGACCGAUACUGACGCUGAGGCACGAAAGCGUGGGGAGCAAACAGGAUUAGAUACCCUGGUAGUCCACGCCCUAAACGAUGAGUACUAAGUGUUGGAGGAAUUCAGCGCUGAAGUUAACGCAUUAAGUACUCCGCCUGAGUAGUACGUACGCAAGUAUGAAACUUAAAGGAAUUGACGGGAGCCCGCACAAGCGGUGGAGCAUGUUGUUUAAUUCGACGAUACGCGAAGAACCUUACCAGGUCUUGACAUCUAGGUGUUAGCUAUAGAGAUAUAGUGAGAUUGCCUAAGACAGGUGGUGCAUGGUUGUCGUCAGCUCGUGUCGUGAGAUGUUGGGUUAAGUCCCGCAACGAGCGCAACCCUUAUUGCUAGUUACCAUCAUUCAGUGGGACUCUAGCGAGACUGCCAGUGACAAACUGGAGGAAGUGGGGAUGACGUCAAUCAUUCAUGCCCUUAUGACUGGCUACAAACGUGCUACAAUGGCUACUUAAAAGAGAAGCGAACAAGGAUGUUAGCACCUCAUAAAGUGUUUCAGUUCGGAAUGAGACUGCACUCGCACUCCUGAGUUGAACUCGCGUAGGAUAUGCGCGACUACACAAUGCGCGCGCGACGUAAUAGCCAUUUUCG